ACUUUAGCUUCCUUAAACCCUAAACCCUAAACCCUUAACCCUAAAUCCUUAACCCUAACCCUAAACCCUAAACUUUAAAAUCUAAAUCCUAAACCCUAACCUUAAACCCUAAACCUAAAAUCCUAAUUUAUAUUCCGAGAUCUAGUUGUAGUUCUAGUUCGGAUACUCAAUGAUACACAAAGAAUCUAGUU
Molecule: small RNA, 191 nt
Filed under: Arabidopsis thaliana (thale cress)
Lineage: Eukaryota; Viridiplantae; Streptophyta; Magnoliopsida; Brassicales; Brassicaceae
Description: ATSL200970
Source: RNAcentral